ACGGGUGAGUAACGCGUGGGAAUCUACCCAACCCUACGGAAUAACGCAUGGAAACGUGUGCUAAUACCGUAUACGCCCUUCGGGGGAAAGAUUUAUCGGGGAUGGAUGAGCCCGCGUUGGAUUAGCUAGUUGGUGGGGUAAAGGCCUACCAAGGCGACGAUCCAUAGCUGGUCUGAGAGGAUGAUCAGCCACAUUGGGACUGAGACACGGCCCAAACUCCUACGGGAGGCAGCAGUGGGGAAUAUUGGACAAUGGGCGCAAGCCUGAUCCAGCCAUGCCGCGUGAGUGAUGAAGGCCCUAGGGUUGUAAAGCUCUUUCACCGAUGAAGAUAAUGACGGUAGUCGGAGAAGAAGCCCCGGCUAACUUCGUGCCAGCAGCCGCGGUAAUACGAAGGGGGCUAGCGUUGUUCGGAAUUACUGGGCGUAAAGCGCACGUAGGCGGAUAUUUAAGUCAGGGGUGAAAUCCCAGAGCUCAACUCUGGAACUGCCUUUGAUACUGGGUAUCUCGAGUAUGGAAGAGGUGAGUGGAAUUCCGAGUGUAGAGGUGAAAUUCGUAGA
This 557-nucleotide ribosomal RNA is filed under the name proteobacterium StTD414. RNAcentral's name for it is "bacterial SSU rRNA". It matches the Rfam family "Bacterial small subunit ribosomal RNA", at positions 102 to 694 of the family's 1533-position model. RNAcentral also lists the same sequence under 2 other names. Lineage: Bacteria; Pseudomonadati; Pseudomonadota. The record is from RNAcentral.